This 212-nucleotide long non-coding RNA is filed under the name Elaeis guineensis (African oil palm). RNAcentral's name for it is "long non-coding RNA (EGUI_LNC000034)". The record is from RNAcentral. Lineage: Eukaryota; Viridiplantae; Streptophyta; Magnoliopsida; Arecales; Arecaceae.
AGAUAAAUCUGUGGAUGAUGUGAUAUUUUGCAUAGAAUUUCUCAAAUUUGGUAUUGUCGACUUGUCGACCAUUGUUGGUGAUGAUCACUCGAGGCAGAUCAAAGCGGUAGAUAAUAGAUUUCCAUAAGAAGUUAGUUGUUUUUAUUUUCAUUAUAUGCACCAGCGGCUCAAUCUCCAUCUACUUGGUGAAGUAGUCGAUGGCCAUGAUGAUG